RNAcentral lists this ribosomal RNA (478 nucleotides) under uncultured bacterium. RNAcentral describes it as "partial 16S ribosomal RNA". It matches the Rfam family "Bacterial small subunit ribosomal RNA", at positions 28 to 507 of the family's 1533-position model. The record is from RNAcentral.
GAUGAACGCUGGCGGCGUGCUUAACACAUGCAAGUCGAACGGGAAAUCUUUCAUUGAGACUUCGGUGGAUUUGAUUUAUUUCUAGUGGCGGACGGGUGAGUAACGCGUGGGUAACCUGCCUUAUACAGGGGGAUAACAGUCAGAAAUGGCUGCUAAUACCGCAUAAGCGCACAGAGCUGCAUGGCUCAGUGUGAAAAACUCCGGUGGUAUAAGAUGGACCCGCGUUGGAUUAGCUAGUUGGUGGGGUAACGGCCCACCAAGGCGACGAUCCAUAGCCGGCCUGAGAGGGUGAACGGCCACAUUGGGACUGAGACACGGCCCAGACUCCUACGGGAGGUAGCAGUGGGGAAUAUUGCACAAUGGGGGAAACCCUGAGGCAGCGACGCCGCGUGAAGGAAGAAGUAUGUCGGUAUGUAAACUUCUAUCAGCAGGGAAGAUAGUGACGGUACCUGACUAAGAAGCCCCGGCUAACUACGUG